UACGAAGGGGGCUAGCGUUGUUCGGAAUUACUGGGCGUAAAGCGCACGCAGGCGGAUUGGUAAGUCAGGGGUGAAAUCCCGGGGCUCAACCUCGGAAUUGCCUUUGAUACUGCCAAUCUUGAGUCCGGGAGAGGUGAGUGGAAUUCCUAGUGUAGAGGUGAAAUUCGUAGAUAUUAGGAAGAACACCAGUGGCGAAGGCGGCUCACUGGCCCGGUACUGACGCUCAGGCGCGAAAGCGUGGGGAGCAAACAGG
Molecule: ribosomal RNA, 253 nt
Filed under: uncultured bacterium
Lineage: Bacteria
Description: partial 16S ribosomal RNA
Rfam family: Bacterial small subunit ribosomal RNA
Source: RNAcentral